This 1418-nucleotide small RNA is filed under the name Pongo abelii (Sumatran orangutan). RNAcentral describes it as "processed transcript". Lineage: Eukaryota; Metazoa; Chordata; Mammalia; Primates; Hominidae. The record is from RNAcentral.
UGGUUUCCUGGCGACGCGGCGCUGCAGGCGGUUGCAUUCCCCAUCGUUACCCUCUUUCUCUUCCCGACGCGUGAGUUAGGCCGUCAUGCCUUGGCUGCUCUCAGCCCCCAAGCUGGUUCCCGCUGUAGCAAACGUCCGCGGCCUCUCAGGGUCUUACUUUGUCGCCCAAGCUGGAGUGCAGUGGCGUGAUCCCAGUACACUGCAACCUAUGUCUCCCAGGCUCAAGCAGUCUUUCUGCCAGCUUCCUGAGUAGCUGGGACUACAGGAGCUUCUUGGACGAUUUAACAGGUCCUCAAGCGAGUCUUCAAAGAAGUGAAAAGAGAAUGGAUCCCUUUCAUGAAAAAUUUCUUUAAAAACAUCAUCUGGCUUAUGGAAUGUGAAGUCAUACUCACAUUCGUCAUCAAAAUGACUUCCACCUCCGUUUAAUCCUUCUGUGCCAUAUUUAUCAUAAAUGUCCCGUUUUUCAUCAUUUGAUAAUACCUCGUAUGCCUCAGCUACUUCUUUGAAUUUUCUCUCUGCUUCUUCUUUAUUUUCUGGAUUUUUAUCAGGGUGCCAUUUAAGUGCCACUUUAUGAUAAGCUUUUUUAAUGUCCUCAGGUGAAGCAUAUCUUUGCACUCCUAGAACUUCAUAGUAAUCCACCAUGUUUUAACAGAUAAUUGGAAGUGGGUAUGCUGGGUAUUGAGAACCGUGGUUUCCUCAGCUCAGGCUCUGCUGGUGGUGGUGAUAGAGGUAGUGACUGCAAAUAGGUACAUUUUUAUGUUAAAGACGAUGUUAUUACCCUGUGCUAGGAGAUGAGGAUACUGAUUAUGUGGCAAGCAGGGUUACAAAUAUGUCAGAGAGGGCUGCAUUAUGGUGUCAUUCUGGGGUCAUUGUAGGGACUGGACCUUCCAGAUAGAGCUAGUCCAGAGUUGUAGCAGGCCAUCCUGAAUCCUCUGGACUGUUUCCCCUGUAUAUUUCCCUGGAAGCUUCAGGCAGUGCCUCAUAAGCCAAUGGAAUCUGUUGCUAAUAGCCACAGCAUAUCCCUUGCAUAAUAUGACCUCUAGAUUACUGGGCCUUAAUUACUUCCCAGCUCUUCUAUGCUUUGGUUUAGAAAAAUGAAGUAGUGACUUACCGGUGAAGAAAGUAUUCAAGCAGUUAACAUAUUUAUUUCAGUCAAGAAACAGUUCAGUGGGAGAUACAAACAAGUAACUUAGUUACAAUAUAAUAGUUAUGAUGAGAGGAAGUACUGGAUGCUAAACAAUUAUAUGAGAGACAGCUCAGGCUGGGGGUGUCAAUGAAAGCCUCUUGGAGGAAGUAGCCUGAUACGUUAACUUUCUGCAUGCCAGUGGUAAGUCAUUUGAGAUUAUAGUAUCUUUGUCCACCCAAGGUUUACUGCUAUAAAACAUGUAAUUAAAGAUUUGGAAAGUUGUGUGUUUAUG